AGUCGAACGCGAAAGCCUGGGCAACUGGGCGAGUAGAGUGGCGCACGGGUGAGUAACACGUGGGUAACCUGCCUUCGAGUGGGGAAUAACUCCUCGAAAGGGGAGCUAAUACCGCAUAAGACCACGACCUCUUCGGGGGUCGCGAUCAAAGGUGGCCUCAUCAAGCAGAGUGUUUGGGACGAUCUUCCCGAGCGGAGGAUAGUCCUUAGCGCUUUGCACAGUGAAGCUGCUGCUCGAAGAGGGGCCCGCGUCCCAUCAGCUAGUUGGUAGGGUAACGGCCUACCAAGGCGACGACGGGUAGCUGGUCUGAGAGGACGACCAGCCACACGGGAAUUGAGAUACGGUCCCGACUCCUACGGGAGGCAGCAGUGGGGAAUCUUGGGCAAUGGGGGAAACCCUGACCCAGCGACGCCGCGUGGGGGAUGAAGGCUUUCGGGUCGUAAACCCCUGUUAGGUGGGACGAACGUCCCCCUGCAAAUAGCUGGGGGAUUUGACGGUACCACCAGAGAAAGCCCCGGCUAACUCCGUGCCAGCAGCCGCGGUAAUACGGAGGGGGCGAGUGUUGUUCGGAAUUACUGGGCGUAAAGGGCGCGCAGGCGGCCUGGCAAGUCGAGUGUGAAAUCCCUUGGCUUAACUAAGGAAUGGCGCUCGAAACUACCUUGCUGGAGGGCGGGAGAGGGAAGUGGAACUCUCGGUGUAGGGGUGAAAUCUGUAGAUAUCGAGAGGAACACCGGUGGCGAAGGCGGCUUCCUGGCCCGUACCUGACGCUGAGGCGCGAAAGCGUGGGGAGCAAACAGGAUUAGAUACCCUGGUAGUCCACGCCCUAAACGAUGGGCACUAGGUGUGGGCGGUAUUAAUCCCGCCUGUGCCGUAGCUAACGCAUUAAGUGCCCCGCCUGGG
This 900-nucleotide ribosomal RNA is filed under the name uncultured Pseudomonadota bacterium. RNAcentral's name for it is "bacterial SSU rRNA". It matches the Rfam family "Bacterial small subunit ribosomal RNA", at positions 60 to 877 of the family's 1533-position model. The record is from RNAcentral. Lineage: Bacteria; Pseudomonadati; Pseudomonadota.